Paenibacillus sp. MY03 is the source of this 366-nucleotide non-coding RNA. It matches the Rfam family "transfer-messenger RNA". Rfam says of the family: Bacterial tmRNA, also known as 10Sa RNA or SsrA, is named for its dual tRNA and mRNA-like properties. Its role is to liberate the mRNA from a stalled ribosome. Lineage: Bacteria; Bacillati; Bacillota; Bacilli; Caryophanales; Paenibacillaceae. The record is from Rfam.
GGGGGCGUUUAUGGAUUCGACGGGGAUUGGACGAGCGCGAGCCAGCGGGUAGCAGGGAGUCGUCUGCUUCAUCAACGCUAAAGCCUAUUAAACGGCAAACAACAAACAAACUACGCUGUAGCAGCUUAAUAACCUGCACACGUGCUCUCGCUCUGUAUCGCCCAUGUACCGGGAUGAGGGCCCAACUUUAGUGGGAUACGCUGUCACAUCUCCGCCUGGGGUGUGCUGAAGAAGACAAUCAGGCUGACCUGAACGGAAGCUGGUUACGAAGCGUCUGCUCAGGUGACAUCAAAUUCGUGACUACACCCGUAGAAAGCCGUGUGGCGUGAUCUUCGGACAGGGGUUCAAAUCCCCUCGCCUCCACCA